RNAcentral lists this long non-coding RNA (343 nucleotides) under Musa acuminata (dwarf banana). RNAcentral describes it as "long non-coding RNA (MACU_LNC004265)". The record is from RNAcentral. Lineage: Eukaryota; Viridiplantae; Streptophyta; Magnoliopsida; Zingiberales; Musaceae.
GCGUAGUCCCAGUCCCUGGGGUAGGCGCUGCCACCGCAGAUGAUGAGCUUGGGGCGAAAGUCGAGGGCCUUCUCCUCGAGCUUCUCAUAGUCGAUGUAACCGGUCACAGGGCUGACCUUGUAGGGCAAGCUCUCGAAGUAGAUGGAGGUAGCGGAGAUCUUCUUGCCACCGGAGGUGUAGUAGCCGUGAGUGAGGUGGCCACCGGAAGGGAGAUCGAGGCCCAUGAUGCGGUCGUGAGGGUUGAGGAUGGCGGUGUAGGCGGCGAAGUUAGCCGGGCUGCCGGAGUACGGCUGGACGUUGACGCCCCACUUGGCGGGGUCGAGGCGGUAGGCGGAGAGGGCAC